CGAGUCGGUCAGGCGAUCGCUCUCCACCUGGUGGAGGGAGGAAAGUCCGGGCUCCACAGGGCAGGGUGCCAGGUAACGCCUGGGGGGCGAAAGCCCACGGAAAGUGCAACAGAAAGUAUACCGCCUGCCUCGGCAGGUAAGGGUGAAAUGGUGCGGUAAGAGCGCACCGCGCGGCUGGUAACAGGCGCGGCGAUGGUAAACCCCACCCGGAGCAAGACCAAAUAGGAAUCCUUCAGCCGUGGCCCGCGGUGGAUUCGGGUAGGUCGCUUCAGGCAACCGGCGACGGUUGUCGCAGAUGAAUGGUCGCCCACGACAGAACCCGGCUUAUCGACCGGCUCACUGA
Molecule: RNase P RNA, 343 nt
Filed under: Seongchinamella unica
Lineage: Bacteria; Pseudomonadati; Pseudomonadota; Gammaproteobacteria; Cellvibrionales; Halieaceae
Description: Bacterial RNase P class A
Rfam family: Bacterial RNase P class A
About the family: Ribonuclease P (RNase P) is a ubiquitous endoribonuclease, found in archaea, bacteria and eukarya as well as chloroplasts and mitochondria. Its best characterised activity is the generation of mature 5'-ends of tRNAs by cleaving the 5'-leader elements of precursor-tRNAs. Cellular RNase Ps are ribonucleoproteins.
Source: Rfam by way of RNAcentral